This 253-nucleotide ribosomal RNA is filed under the name uncultured bacterium. RNAcentral describes it as "partial 16S ribosomal RNA". It matches the Rfam family "Bacterial small subunit ribosomal RNA", at positions 524 to 776 of the family's 1533-position model. The record is from RNAcentral.
CACGUAGGGCGCAAGCGUUGUCCGGAAUUAUUGGGCGUAAAGAGCUCGUAGGCGGUCUGUUGCGUCCGCUGUGAAAACUCGGGGCUUAACCCCGAGCCUGCAGUGGAUACGGGCAGACUAGAGGUAGGUAGGGGAGAAUGGAAUUCCCGGUGUAGCGGUGAAAUGCGCAGAUAUCGGGAGGAACACCGAUGGCGAAGGCAGGUCUCUGGGCCACUACUGACGCUGAGAAGCGAAAGCAUGGGGAGCGAACAGG